Molecule: long non-coding RNA, 1112 nt
Filed under: Phoenix dactylifera (date palm)
Lineage: Eukaryota; Viridiplantae; Streptophyta; Magnoliopsida; Arecales; Arecaceae
Description: long non-coding RNA (PDAC_LNC015322)
Source: RNAcentral
UUGUUCAGAAUGUCUUAUCAAUAUUUUACAUGCUGUUCUAAUUAAGUUCGCCCUUUCUUCAAUAUAAACAUGUAGAUAACAAAUUGCUAAACUCAUGGUGAGCAAAAUCUACCACAUGAGAAAUUGUGAUAAGUGGUGAACCGAUGCUAGUAUUAGCAUAUGGUUGAAAUCCGAUGUGCAAGUCAAACACAAUGAUAAUGGCCUAAAUAUAUGAUGAAGUGUUUUCACAUAGAUAUUCUGUAAACUAAAAAUCCUAAUUGUCAACUUUAGGUGUUUUCUAGUAAUUAUGUUGAAAAAUCAGAUUUGUAAAGAAGUUAAAUGGAACCAUGAUAGCACAGGAACCUAGCAACUAGGAUUGGCAAUGGGUCGAGUCAAGUCGAGAAUGGAUACCAACAUGCAAAACCUUGAGCUCUACCGGAUUUGACCCAACGUCAGAUCAAGAUCUCAACCCAUACCUACCCAUGGGUUUCAGAUCACCAAUUUGACCCUAAUCUAAUCUAUUUGCAAGACGCAAUCCCUAAUAAACCUAAGCUAGCCUAUUUAUAGUUCUAACCAGCUAAUUUUCAAAAUGAUUUAAACUACCACUAUCAAGAAGAAGACCAAUCACCCAAAAAAUUCUUAUCCAAGGUUACAAGUCUACCCAACCUAAUUUUUUCAACCCAAAUAGAAACUUUACUACUCGGCGCAAGGAUGAAACUCCGGGGCAUUGAUUCGUAACGCGAAUCGCCGGAUGUGAUUCGAUAGGAAUGCCGACCACUACAUAAGCCGCUGGCGGAGAAAGCUCUUCGAGCUUCCCUUCAUUCGCUGCCCCCCGUGGGAGACCGAGCCGUGUCUCAGUCCUCUAACCUCAUGAAUUGGAUUGGUUCAAAGCUUUGCCCCAUAUCUGACCAAUUUAAAAUUUCAAAUUAGGAAGUCUAGCCCAUAGUUGAUCUUAACUAAUAAAACCCUUGAUCCAAACCUGAUCCAAAUAGGUAGGAUCGGGUUCGAAUCAUGGGUUCGAACCAAAGGUUGUGGGCUCGAAUCAUGGGUGAGUCAGGUGCAUCCCAAAUACUGAGACCUAGGUAAUUAUAGUGUAAUGGGCCUCCCUCCCUCUCUCUCCAAAACAUACUAUC